CUCCCACCUCGGUCUCUCGGGAAUAUCCAUCCUCCCCGCGCGGGAGGUUCGGGACCAGCGAUCCCGAAUUUUGGUGGAAUUCUGACCCCUCCCCUCCCGUGACGUUUCUCCCCGCAGGACCUCAUCCCUCCGAUGGAACGCCGGCACCAAGGAGCGGAUGCUGAUCAAGGUGACGGACCGGGAGCCCAGCUUCCUCCUCCACCAAGGCAACGGCUACGCCCCGGAAAGCCAAGCGGGCUCCCGCUCCCGCCGGCCCUCGGGCGGCCAACAGUCGCCCAACCUCCAAACCUUCUCCUCGGACGCCGACAGCUCCGUCUUCUUCCCGGAGAGGAAGCAGUCGCCCUUCCUGAAGAGGGCCGAGCACGUGGGCAGCUGCUCGCCGCUGCUGGGCCGGGGCGACUCCUUCUGCUCGCCGCUCCAAGCCCAGCACCGCAAACAUUCCAGCGAAUCCCAGCCCUCGUCGCCGCGCUACGCCUACGAGCCCCCGCUCUACGAGGAGCCCCCCAUGGAGUACCAGGCCCCCAUCUACGACGAGCCGCCCGUGGACAUGCAGUACGAAGCCAGCGGCGCCUACAAGGCCGGCUCGCCGCAGAAGUCGCCCAUCCGCAAGCCUCACCCUUUCCUUCAGUCGCCCAAGCAAGGCUCCAACUCGCCCUACCAGCAGUUGGUGCUCACCAAGCAGAAGUGUCCCGAGCGCUUCAUGAGCCUGGAGUACAGCCCGGCCGGCAAGGAGUACGUCCGGCAGUUGGUCUACGUGGAGCAGUCGGGCUCCAGCCCCAAGAUGAAGACGGGCUUGAGGCACAAAUAUUCCCCCAACCCCAUCGGCGGCUCCUACUCGCUGCAGCACAGCCCCUGCCUGCUGCGGGACCAACGCCUGGACGUCAAAUCGGGCGACUACAGCAGCAUGGAGGGACCCGACUUCUGCCCCGGCCCCGCCGGCGCCCAGGUGGCCCAGGGCGAGGACUCCAUGUCGUGGUCCAGCCAGCAGGACACCUUGUCCUCCAGCGGUUACUCGCCCUCCACCAGGAAGAGGAAAAGCCGGAAGCCUUCGGUGAACCACGACGCCAACGCCUCCUCCACGGAGGGCUCGGGGGAGCGGGAGGCGCUGGGCGAGCCGGGCGAGGAGCGAGCCACGCCGGGGCCCACCAGGUCGCCGAUGAACCGGACGGAGAGCAAGGCGGCCGAGGCGGAGGCGGCGCGGGGCUUCCCGGAGCCGUUCCUGGCGCAGGCGCGGCUGGCGUGGGAGGCGCAGCAGGCCCACUACCACAUGAAGCAACGGAGCAGCUGGGAUUCCCAAAAGGACGGUUCGGGCUACGAGAGCGACGGAGCCCUCCCGCUGCCCAUGCCGGGCCCCGUGGUGAGAGCCUUCAGCGAGGACGAGGCGUUGGCGCAGCAGGAGAACAAGCACUGGAAGAGGAACACCUUCGAGAAGUUGGGCUUCCCCCAGAUCCUGCUGGAGAAGAGCGUCUCCGUGCAGACCAACCUGGCCUCGCCCGAGCCUUACCUGCAUCCAUCUCAGGUAACGCCCUUGGGGGGGUUCUCGGUUUUGGGGGUCGUCACCGCGCGGCCGAUCCUGGUUAAGGUUCUUCU
This is a long non-coding RNA of Chloebia gouldiae (Gouldian finch), 1590 nucleotides long. The record is from Ensembl. Lineage: Eukaryota; Metazoa; Chordata; Aves; Passeriformes; Passeridae.